ACCUACGGGAGGCAGCAGUGAGGAAUAUUGGUCAAUGGGCGGGAGCCUGAACCAGCCAAGUAGCGUGCAGGAUGACGGCCCUAUGGGUUGUAAACUGCUUUUGUAUGGGGAUAAAUUGCUCCACGUGUGGAGUAUUGCAGGUACCAUACGAAUAAGGACCGGCUAAUUCCGUGCGAGCCAGCAGCCGCGGU
This 191-nucleotide ribosomal RNA is filed under the name uncultured Streptococcus sp. RNAcentral describes it as "partial 16S ribosomal RNA". It matches the Rfam family "Bacterial small subunit ribosomal RNA", at positions 337 to 521 of the family's 1533-position model. Lineage: Bacteria; Bacillati; Bacillota; Bacilli; Lactobacillales; Streptococcaceae. The record is from RNAcentral.